CAAUGUAAUAGUUGGGCCCACGAGGAAAGGCAGCAUAAUACGAAGUUCAUGUCUCCAAAAUAGGCAGCAGCAAACAGCCGCAUAACACUGCUACGACAAACUUCCAAAACAAUUAUCCGUAACGCCUGAAGUUUGCAUCUGCGCAACGUAACAUCUUCCUGUACUGUGCCACAAUUCGGAGUGAACACGUAGUUCGCUGCAAACAACUUUAGUAGCUAUGGUCUAUCCUACGAGAAUAGACACAAAGCGAAGUAAUUGAGAAAACCAUAAUUUUUUUCGACAAGGUUUAAUCUGUGAUAGGUUUAAUCAAAAUCAGUACUUUCA
Long non-coding RNA from Aricia agestis (brown argus), 324 nucleotides. RefSeq lists it as uncharacterized. The transcript is spliced from 3 exons. The record is from RefSeq and is a predicted model, not a curated record. NCBI's taxonomy places the organism in Eukaryota, Metazoa, Arthropoda, Insecta, Lepidoptera, Lycaenidae.